GUGGGGAAUCUUCCGCAAUGGACGAAAGUCUGACGGAGCAACGCCGCGUGAGGGAAGAAGGUUUUCGGAUUGUAAACCUCUGUCCUUGGUGACGAAGGAAGUGACGGUAGCCAAGGAGGAAGCCCCGGCUAACUACGUGCCAGCAGCCGCGGUAAUACGUAGGGGGCAAGCGUUGUCCGGAAUGACUGGGCGUAAAGGGCGUGUAGGCGGCCGAUUAAGUCUGGAGUGAAAGUCCUGCUUUAAAGGUGGGAAUUGCUUUGGAGACUGGUUGGCUUGAGUGCGGAAGAGGUAAGUGGAAUUCCCAGUGUAGCGGUGAAAUGCGUAGAGAUUGGGAGGAACACCAGUGGCGAAGGCGACUUACUGGGCCGUAACUGACGCUGAGGCGCGAAAGCGUGGGGAGCGAACAGGAUUAGAUACCCCUGUAGUCC
RNAcentral lists this ribosomal RNA (428 nucleotides) under uncultured bacterium. RNAcentral's name for it is "partial 16S ribosomal RNA". It matches the Rfam family "Bacterial small subunit ribosomal RNA", at positions 354 to 796 of the family's 1533-position model. The record is from RNAcentral.